AUUGAACGCUGGCGGCAUGCCUUACACAUGCAAGUCGAACGGCAGCACGGGGGCAACCCUGGUGGCGAGUGGCGAACGGGUGAGUAAUGUAUCGGAACGUAUCCGGGAGUGGGGGAUAGCUCGGCGAAAGCCGGAUUAAUACCGCAUAUGCCCUGAGGGGGAAAGUGGGGGACCGUAAGGCCUCACGCUUUCGGAGCGGCCGAUAUCGGAUUAGCUAGUUGGUGGGGUAAAGGCCUACCAAGGCGACGAUCCGUAGCGGGUCUGAGAGGAUGAUCCGCCACACUGGGACUGAGACACGGCCCAGACUCCUACGGGUGGCUG
This 321-nucleotide ribosomal RNA is filed under the name uncultured Pseudomonadota bacterium. Its description in RNAcentral is "bacterial SSU rRNA". It matches the Rfam family "Bacterial small subunit ribosomal RNA", at positions 28 to 351 of the family's 1533-position model. Lineage: Bacteria; Pseudomonadati; Pseudomonadota. The record is from RNAcentral.